This 360-nucleotide ribosomal RNA is filed under the name uncultured bacterium. Its description in RNAcentral is "SSU rRNA". It matches the Rfam family "Bacterial small subunit ribosomal RNA", at positions 26 to 380 of the family's 1533-position model. The record is from RNAcentral.
AGGACGAACGCUGGCGGCGUGCCUAACACAUGCAAGUGGAGCGACGAACCAGGCUUCGGCCUGGGGCAGAGCCGCGAACGGGUGAGUAACACGUGGGUAACCUGCCCUGAUGAUUGGGACAACCCGAGGAAACUCGGGCUAAUACCGAAUGUGCCCUCCGGCCUCAAGGCCGUUGGGGAAAGGAAGCUUCGGCCUCCGCAUCGGGAUGGGCCCGCGGCCCAUUAGCUUGUUGGUGAGGUAACGGCUCACCAAGGCAACGAUGGGUAGCUGGUCUGAGAGGACGAUCAGCCACACUGGGACUGAGACACGGUCCAGACACCUACGGGUGCAGCAGUUUCGAAUCAUUCACAAUGGGCAAAG